This 253-nucleotide ribosomal RNA is filed under the name uncultured bacterium. Its description in RNAcentral is "partial 16S ribosomal RNA". It matches the Rfam family "Bacterial small subunit ribosomal RNA", at positions 524 to 776 of the family's 1533-position model. The record is from RNAcentral.
UACGUAGGGUGCAAGCGUUGUCCGGAAUUAUUGGGCGUAAAGGGCUCGUAGGCGGCCAACUAAGUCGGACGUGAAAUCCCUCAGCUUAACUGGGGAACUGCGUCCGAUACUGGAUGGCUUGGAUUUGGGAGAGGGAUGCGGAAUUCCAGGUGUAGCGGUGAAAUGCGUAGAUAUCUGGAGGAACACCGGUGGCGAAGGCGGCAUCCUGGACCAAUAUUGACGCUGAGGAGCGAAAGCCAGGGGAGCAAACGGG